Solanum lycopersicum (tomato) is the source of this 875-nucleotide long non-coding RNA. RefSeq lists it as uncharacterized. Lineage: Eukaryota; Viridiplantae; Streptophyta; Magnoliopsida; Solanales; Solanaceae. The record is from RefSeq and is a predicted model, not a curated record.
UAAAAUUGGGGAAGAAACCCACUUCAUUCUCCAAACCUACCUUCAAGUUACAGGGGAUGAAGAGAACUAGCAUCAAAUCUCGCUUCAAAGGCACAAUGAAGUUGAUGAAUGUUGUAUCUGAAGACUGCACGAAUUUGGAAGACCACCAUCUUCUUGCUCUUCCAUAGUUGAUGCUUAAAUCUUUACUCAAUUUGAAAUCGGUUUGCUCUAUACAAGAGAUUUGAGAGCGUUGAUCGAGUAUUGUAGUUUAAAGACACUGCAAAAGAUUGGAGGUGAAAUUUCAAAACUUUGAGAACGUCUGCAGAUUUGCUUAAAAAAGGUGCGUCAUAUUCAUUUGAUGUUAAUAAAGCAAUAUCGCUCGAUGAAAAUUCAUCAAUGGAGGAAUUUUACGAGUUUCGUGCAAUAGUGAGGGAUGAAGGAUCUAAUUGUUUGGCAUAUGUGCAAGACGCAGAUAUGAUUCAUGUUCAAGCAAAUUAUAGAAGAGAGGAGCUAAUGUAUGACCAUUUGCAUCCUCCUAUUCGGCGAGGAAAAGGUGGUGUUGCAGGUAGGAAGGUACGUGCUGUUGAGAGAGGUCGAGCACCUAUUGAAAUGGGUGAAGAUGAUCAAACCACACAAGAUUCCCAAGCAGUUUCGAAUUAAACAAACAAAUAUUGCGACGGUCCCAUGUGCGCAAAUUCCCUUGUUUUGAUCAAGUAUUGUUGCCUUGUUCUGCCAUUAAGCCACAGGACUACGAUUGAUCAUCAAAUACAUUGCGAGAACAACCAUCAUAUUUCAGGUCAUCUGAGUGCAAAUGCGUGUAGUUAUCUAGAAUUCGUGGAGCAGUUUUUAAUGGAAGACAUUACAUAUGAAACAAUAAAUAUAUUGUAUACAUUUUA